UGGGGAAUUUUGGACAAUGGGCGAAAGCCUGAUCCAGCAAUGCCGCGUGUGUGAAGAAGGCCUUCGGGUUGUAAAGCACUUUUGUCCGGAAAGAAAUCCUUGGCUCUAAUACAGUCGGGGGAUGACGGUACCGGAAGAAUAAGCACCGGCUAACUACGUGCCAGCAGCCGCGGUAAUACGUAGGGUGCAAGCGUUAAUCGGAAUUACUGGGCGUAAAGCGUGCGCAGGCGGUUUGCUAAGACCGAUGUGAAAUCCCCGGGCUCAACCUGGGAACUGCAUUGGUGACUGGCAGGCUAGAGUAUGGCAGAGGGGGGUAGAAUUCCACGUGUAGCAGUGAAAUGCGUAGAGAUGUGGAGGAAUACGAUGGCGAAGGCAGCCCCCUGGGCCAAUACUGACGCUCAUGCACGAAAGCGUGGGGAGCAAACAGGUUAGAUACCCUGGUAGUCCACGCCCUAAACGAUGUCAACUAGUUGUUGGGGAUUCAUUUCCUUAGUAACGUAGCUAACGCGUGAAGUUGACCGCCUGGGGAGUACGGUCGUCAAGAUUAAAACUCAAUGAAUUGACGGGUCAUAGCUGUUUCCU
Molecule: ribosomal RNA, 582 nt
Filed under: uncultured bacterium
Lineage: Bacteria
Description: partial 16S ribosomal RNA
Rfam family: Bacterial small subunit ribosomal RNA
Source: RNAcentral